GAUGGUCGAUCAGAUGUCUCUUUCUUCUUGAUUUGCACUCUUCCAAAGAUAAGAAGUAGGAGAAGGAGUUUUAAAUAUGAGACACUCUCAGAAAACUCACAGAUGGAGGAAGAGAAGAGGUGAACUCAGCAACCCUAGAAGAAGACCCUCUUCUUCUUCUCUUUGCUCUAACCCAGACACUUAGUUUUGUGUCUAUUAUAUCUCCACGCCCC
This 212-nucleotide long non-coding RNA is filed under the name Elaeis guineensis (African oil palm). Its description in RNAcentral is "long non-coding RNA (EGUI_LNC059520)". The record is from RNAcentral. Lineage: Eukaryota; Viridiplantae; Streptophyta; Magnoliopsida; Arecales; Arecaceae.